This 626-nucleotide ribosomal RNA is filed under the name Enterobacter cloacae. Its description in RNAcentral is "bacterial SSU rRNA". It matches the Rfam family "Bacterial small subunit ribosomal RNA", at positions 108 to 730 of the family's 1533-position model. The record is from RNAcentral. Lineage: Bacteria; Pseudomonadati; Pseudomonadota; Gammaproteobacteria; Enterobacterales; Enterobacteriaceae.
GAGUAAUGUCUGGGAAACUGCCUGAUGGAGGGGGAUAACUACUGGAAACGGUAGCUAAUACCGCAUAANGUCGCAAGACCAAAGAGGGGGACCUUCGGGCCUCUUGCCAUCGGAUGUGCCCAGAUGGGAUUAGCUAGUAGGUGGGGUAACGGCUCACCUAGGCGACGAUCCCUAGCUGGUCUGAGAGGAUGACCAGCCACACUGGAACUGAGACACGGUCCAGACUCCUACGGGAGGCAGCAGUGGGGAAUAUUGCACAAUGGGCGCAAGCCUGAUGCAGCCAUGCCGCGUGUAUGAAGAAGGCCUUCGGGUUGUAAAGUACUUUCAGCGGGGAGGAAGGCGAUAAGGUUAAUAACCUUGUCGAUUGACGUUACCCGCAGAAGAAGCACCGGCUAACUCCGUGCCAGCAGCCGCGGUAAUACGGAGGGUGCAAGCGUUAAUCGGAAUUACUGGGCGUAAAGCGCACGCAGGCGGUCUGUCAAGUCGGAUGUGAAAUCCCCGGGCUCAACCUGGGAACUGCAUUCGAAACUGGCAGGCUAGAGUCUUGUAGAGGGGGGUAGAAUUCCAGGUGUAGCGGUGAAAUGCGUAGAGAUCUGGAGGAAUACCGGUGGCGAAGGCGGCCCCCU